Cavia porcellus (domestic guinea pig) is the source of this 709-nucleotide long non-coding RNA. RefSeq lists it as uncharacterized. NCBI's taxonomy places the organism in Eukaryota, Metazoa, Chordata, Mammalia, Rodentia, Caviidae. The record is from RefSeq and is a predicted model, not a curated record. The transcript is spliced from 2 exons.
GGAUGAGCGUCACACCAAUAGGAGCGAGGGGGCAGGGCGGAUGAGAGGGUGGUGAUGCAAAAAAGAAAGACGCUGGACAGGUGUGGAAGACGGCUUAGGCCUCAGAGAUCUGGGAGCAGGAGCAGCGCUCGAAACAAGGCGGGAUGUGGGCGGGGCUAAAGGUAGAACGUGCCUGGAGGAGGCGGACCCGGAAGCACAGUAGGGGGGCGUCCAGGAUAGCCACUCUGGGGAGGAGCCGGAAGGAGGCGUGCCCUAAAUUUGGCCCUGGUGGGUGGUGCUUGAGAUGGGAGAGGCCUGAAACCAGCACCCAGAGCUGUAUUCUAGGAGUCGUGCCAGAGCGAUCCGGAAGAGGCGAAAAGUACCCGCAUUUUGAGCUGGAAUCUGCCUGAGAGAAUUCCCAAUGCAACAGUUUCUACUGAGAGUGCUGUCUGUGACAGACCAGCAGUAAUAACUACUCCUCUCUGGUUUGAUGACCUCCAUGUCCCACUUCAAAAGGAAGAGAAAUAAAACCAGACAGAUGAUGACAUUGGAGAGCAAAGCCUGGAAUAUUCUUCCCCCAAAUCUCUGCCUAAAUAGCACUUCUGAGAGUUCUUCCUUAAACACCCUGCCUAACAGUUUGGUCUCUUGUUCUGACAUUUAUUAGUCUAUUUAUGUGUUUUUUUUCUGUCUCUCCCAGUAGAGUGGAUCCAUGAAUAGAAAUAUAAAGCUC